RNAcentral lists this small RNA (128 nucleotides) under Marmota monax (woodchuck). Lineage: Eukaryota; Metazoa; Chordata; Mammalia; Rodentia; Sciuridae. The record is from RNAcentral.
GCCAGGUGUGGUGACACACACCUGUAAUCCUAGCAACUAGGAAGGCUGAGACAGGAGGAUCGCUAAGUUUGAGGCUAGUCUCAGCAACUUAGCAAGGCCCUCAGAAACUGAAUGAGACCCUAUCUCAG